UACGUAGGGACCGAGCGUUGUCCGGAUUCAUUGGGCGUAAAGAGCUCGUAGGCGGCUGCUCAAGUCGAAUGUGAAAACUCGAGGCUCAACCUCGAGCCUGCAUUCGAUACUGGGCGGCUAGAGUCUGGUAGGGGGAUCUGGAAUUCCUGGUGUAGCGGUGGAAUGCGCAGAUAUCAGGAGGAACACCGGUGGCGAAGGCGGGUCUCUGGGCCGAUACUGACACUGAGGAGCGAAAGCGUGGGGAGCGAACAGG
RNAcentral lists this ribosomal RNA (253 nucleotides) under uncultured bacterium. RNAcentral's name for it is "partial 16S ribosomal RNA". It matches the Rfam family "Bacterial small subunit ribosomal RNA", at positions 524 to 776 of the family's 1533-position model. The record is from RNAcentral.